Molecule: ribosomal RNA, 497 nt
Filed under: uncultured bacterium
Lineage: Bacteria
Description: partial 16S ribosomal RNA
Rfam family: Bacterial small subunit ribosomal RNA
Source: RNAcentral
GAUGAACGCUGUCGGCGUGCCUAAUACAUGCAAGUCGAGCGAACGGACGAGAAGCUUGCUUCUCUGAUGUUAUCGGCGGACGGGUGAGUAACACGUGGAUAACCUACCUAUAAGACUGGGAUAACUUCGGGAAACCGGAGCUAAAACCGGAUAAUAUUUUGAACCGCAUUGUUCAAAAGUGAAAGACGGUCUUGCUGUCACUUAUAGAUGGAUCCGCGCUGCAUUAGCUAGUUGGUAAGGUAACGGCUUACCAAGGCAACGAUGCAUAGCCGACCUGAGAGGGUGAACGGCAACACUGGAACGGAGACACGGUCCAGACUCCUACGGGAGGCAGCAGUAGGGAAUAUUCCGCAAUGGGCGAAAGCCUGACGGAGCAAAGCCCCGUGAGUGAUGAAGGUCUUCGGAUCGUAAAACUCUGUUAUUAGGAAAGAACAUAUGUGUAAGUAACUGUGCACAUCUUGACGGUACCUAAUCAGAAAGCCACGGCUAACUACGUG